AAGUGUUUAAAAUCUGAUAGUACGCCGGAGAAGCUGAGGACUCACGGCAACGGUAUAGUUAAACUAUAUCUGGUUUCCUUCCAUCAAAACGCCUCCACGAAUACGCCUACCAUUAGCAUCUCGGUUCCGGUUGUGAUCGUCAAUGAACUUAUCAGGCGAUCGAUUGAGAUUCGAAUUCUCGAUGCUAAACGAAAGAGAGGGGGAGGGUUUUUAGAAAAUGGCGAGAUUCGAUGCGAAGACGAUCGUCAAGGACAAGAGAUUCUGGGUCGCUUCUUUAAUUAUCGUCUGGGCUGCUGGUCUUCAGGGUCAUAUGAUGUGGCUGCAGAGGCAAGAUUCAUUUAAGCAGAAGUUUGGAACAAUUGAUGAAGACAACCACCACAAGUAAUAUGAUACAUAACAGGAGUUUAUGUCUCUGAAACAACUUCUUGUGUUUUUGUGUAUUGGGAGUCUUUUUUUUUGGAUUAUAAUCAUAAAUUACAUAAGAGGAUAAAAGAUUUGUAUUAGGAUUUCUGAUCUAUUAUUUCACUCUGGCUACUAUCUCAAAUGGUUGAAAAAAUAGAGUUUUGACUGUAAGAAAUUGCCAAUUGCAGUCUCUGUGAUUUGUGAGAUUAUUAUUGUGUAUUAGCUUCAGCUUUUUGCCUA
Non-coding RNA from Camelina sativa (false flax), 642 nucleotides. The record is from RefSeq and is a predicted model, not a curated record. NCBI's taxonomy places the organism in Eukaryota, Viridiplantae, Streptophyta, Magnoliopsida, Brassicales, Brassicaceae.